Molecule: long non-coding RNA, 759 nt
Filed under: Marmota monax (woodchuck)
Lineage: Eukaryota; Metazoa; Chordata; Mammalia; Rodentia; Sciuridae
Source: RNAcentral
GUGAAGCAGAGGUCAGGCGAGGCCAAAGCCAAAACGUGUGAGAGAGGUUCCCCUGGCCCUGCCCUCAGCUCAGCCAGAGGGGGCACUUGGGCUUCACAGACUGCUGACACGCUUGAGCAGGGACCAGGGAGCACACAGGCACAAGUGGGUUGAAGGCACCCUGCUUGCCUGUUUCCACUUCCCACUGAGUUUGCAUCUGGCUUGGUCAAGCCAGAGUGCUGGAUUUGCUAUCAUGGCCUUGGGAUUAUUCUGGAGGUUAUAGUCAUAUAUAAGAAGGCAAGAUUGGGCUGGAGCUGGGAAUGGGGCUGGGGCUCAGUGGUGGAACACUUGCCUAGCAUGUGUGAGGCCCUGGGUUCAAUCCUCAGCACCACAUACAAAUAAAUAAAAUUAAGGUAUUGUGUCCAUCUACAACUAAUAAAAAAAAAAAAAGGUGAGGUUGGGUGUGGUGGCACACACCUGUAAUCCCAGCAUUUUGGGAAGCUGAGGCGGAGGAUUACAAGUUCAAGGAUUGCUAAAUUUCCAGUUUCAGCAACUUAGCAAGACCCUAAGCAACUCAGUGAGACCCUAUCUCUAAAUAAAAAUAUGUAAAAGGGCUGGGAAUGUGGCUCAGUGGUUAAGCAUUUCUGGGCUGAAUCUCCGCUACCAAAAAAAAAGAGGUGAGGUUUUAAAAAUGAACAAGGCAUGCCUGUAACCCCAGUGACUAGGGAGGCUGAGGCAGGAGGACUGCAAGUUCAGGGCCAGCCUCAGCAAUUUAGUGAG